This 488-nucleotide unclassified non-coding RNA is filed under the name Hevea brasiliensis (rubber tree). The record is from RNAcentral. Lineage: Eukaryota; Viridiplantae; Streptophyta; Magnoliopsida; Malpighiales; Euphorbiaceae.
UUUUUUUUCCAGCAUUUGAAUGUAAAGUGUGGGACAAGUUUCUUUAUAUGAUGAGUGGGUUAUUUUCUUAAUCAAGAAGAAGAAUUGCAAGCUUUGGACAAUGGUACAAAGAGGUAGGAAGCAAUAAUACUGGUUGGAUAGUAAAAAUUCCUUCACUGCAAUUAUCUUUUGUGGGUUCCUCUCCUGUUGUGGGGGUAAUGUAGUGGGAUAUAUCUGCCCUGAAAGCUCAAACAGAAGAUGGGAAGGUCAUUGGUGAUGACAUGAAGUCAAACCAGAAUUCCAAGAUCUAUCAGAAAUGGAAGAUGGUUUGUCUCACAUGACAAGAACGGCCAAAGAGAUCAUCUGCCACUAAAGAGAAGGUUGUGGGGUCUUAAAAAUGAAAAGUGGUUGAAGAAUGGCUUUUCUAAAGGCAAGUUCGCAGAUUGACUCUUCAAUUUUUAUUUUUCUUAAUAGAUAUAAACUUUUUAGUGCUUCCUGGGAAUGAGAAG